RNAcentral lists this ribosomal RNA (497 nucleotides) under uncultured bacterium. Its description in RNAcentral is "partial 16S ribosomal RNA". It matches the Rfam family "Bacterial small subunit ribosomal RNA", at positions 28 to 507 of the family's 1533-position model. The record is from RNAcentral.
GAUGAACGCUGGCGGCGUGCCUAAUACAUGCAAGUCGAGCGAACAGACGAGGAGCUUGCUCCUUUGACGUUAGCGGCGGACGGGUGAGUAACACGUGGAUAACCUACCUAUAAGACUGGGAUAACUUCGGGAAACCGGAGCUAAUACCGGAUAAUAUAUUGAACCGCAUGGUUCAAUAGUGAAAGACGGCUUUGCUGUCACUUAUAGAUGGAUCCGCGCCGCAUUAGCUAGUUGGUAAGGUAACGGCUUACCAAGGCAACGAUGCGUAGCCGACCUGAGAGGGUGAUCGGCCACACUGGAACUGAGACACGGUCCAGACUCCUACGGGAGGCAGCAGUAGGGAAUCUUCCGCAAUGGGCGAAAGCCUGACGGAGCAACGCCGCGUGAGUGAUGAAGGUCUUCGGAUCGUAAAACUCUGUUAUUAGGGAAGAACAAAUGUGUAAGUAACUGUGCACGUCUUGACGGUACCUGAUCAGAAAGCAACGGCUAACUACGUG